Molecule: long non-coding RNA, 728 nt
Organism: Aegilops tauschii subsp. strangulata
Lineage: Eukaryota; Viridiplantae; Streptophyta; Magnoliopsida; Poales; Poaceae
Source: RefSeq, a predicted model, not a curated record
CUUUGUAAAUUUUCAUCAGGAAUUAGUUGUUUUCAUAAGUGACAAAAGUAAUUUUGAGAAACUCCCACUUUCGGGUGCAUGAUGCAUGAGAUAAGCCCUAUACUACUAAUUUAAGCACAAAAAUUAAUGCAUUAAAUCAUGAGAUAAGUCCUGUUAUAAUUUUUGCACAAUUAAUGCAUUAAAUACUUCUCCAUGAUCUCCACCAAUCUGCCUCUAUAUAAAUGCAACGAAUGAAAGAGCAUUGCAACUUCAUCAGGCUUUCUUUUUGGGUCCUCAUGGCAGUCUUCAGGAACAAUGUGGCUGUUGCCGUAUGGUUGGGGGCUCUCAUGCUCAUGGCAACCCUUUCUGCCUCAGAAGGAAACCCAGCCUUUAUUGGAUGUUUCGAGGUCCACCAGAACUGCUUCCCUGAUGACUGUCAGAAGAGAUGCGAGGACGAUCUUGGAAAAGAUACGUUAAGUGAAUGCGAGCGGGAUCAUGGCGUACUACAACCGUAUCCCGGGCUUCAGUGUUGUUGUUAUCGAAAGGACGGUACCCGAAAAUGAUAAACAGGGUGUUUAGUUGAUGAUGGGCAGAUGAUAGAACACAUCCAUAUAUAUGAUUGUCUGUUCGAUCCGCCUGUUGUAGUGUAGAUCUAAUAAAUGAAUGUCUUUCACGACAAUCAUAUUAACAAAGGCAUUAGCUCUUGCAUUGAGAGAUAAUUGUAAGAUAUAUUUUUGACGCUCGUGGAA